RNAcentral lists this ribosomal RNA (433 nucleotides) under uncultured bacterium. RNAcentral's name for it is "partial 16S ribosomal RNA". It matches the Rfam family "Bacterial small subunit ribosomal RNA", at positions 29 to 507 of the family's 1533-position model. The record is from RNAcentral.
AACGAACGCUGGCGGCAUGCCUAACACAUGCAAGUCGAACGAGACCUUCGGGUCUAGUGGCGCACGGGUGCGUAACGCGUGGGAACCUGCCCUUAGGUUCGGAAUAACUCCCCGACAGGGGUGCUAAUACCGGAUAAUGUCUUCGGACCAAAGAUUUAUCGCCUUUGGAUGGGCCCGCGUUGGAUUAGCUAGUUGGUAGGGUAAAAGCCUACCAAGGCGACGAUCCAUAGCUGGUCUGAGAGGAUGAUCAGCCACACUGGGACUGAGACACGGCCCAGACUCCUACGGGAGGCAGCAGUGGGGAAUAUUGGACAAUGGGCGAAAGCCUGAUCCAGCACUGCCGCGUGAGUGAUGAAGGCCUUAGGGUUGUAAAGCUCUUUUACCCGGGAUGAUAAUGACAGUACCGGGAGAAUAAGCUCCGGCUAACUCCGUG